This 612-nucleotide ribosomal RNA is filed under the name Enterobacter sp. HN503E2II. Its description in RNAcentral is "bacterial LSU rRNA". It matches the Rfam family "Bacterial large subunit ribosomal RNA", at positions 80 to 688 of the family's 2925-position model. Lineage: Bacteria; Pseudomonadati; Pseudomonadota; Gammaproteobacteria; Enterobacterales; Enterobacteriaceae. The record is from RNAcentral.
GGGUAGCUGUAAGUAAGCGUUGAUCCAGAGAUUUCCGAAUGGGGGAACCCAGCAUGAGUUAUGUCAUGUUAUCGACAUGUGAAUUUAUAGCAUGUCAGAAGGCAGACCCGGAGAACUGAAACAUCUUAGUACCCGGAGGAAGAGAAAGAAAAAAUCGAUUCCCUGAGUAGCGGCGAGCGAAACGGGAAGAGCCCAAACCAACAAGCUUGCUUGUUGGGGUUGUAGGACACUCUAUACGGAGUUACAAAAGAACAUGUUAGACGAAUCAUCUGGAAAGAUGAAUCAAAGAAGGUAAUAAUCCUGUAGUCGAAAACAUAUUCUCUCUUGAGUGGAUCCUGAGUACGACGGAGCACGUGAAAUUCCGUCGGAAUCUGGGAGGACCAUCUCCUAAGGCUAAAUACUCUCUAGUGACCGAUAGUGAACCAGUACCGUGAGGGAAAGGUGAAAAGUACCCCGGAAGGGGAGUGAAAAAGAACUUGAAACCGUGUGCUUACAAGUAGUCAGAGCACGUUAAUGGGUGAUGGCGUGCCUUUUGUAGAAUGAACCGGCGAGUUACGAUCUGAUGCAAGGUUAAGCAGCAAAUGUGGAGCCGCAGCGAAAGCGAGUCUGAAU